UCGAGAAUCAUUCGCAAUGGGCGAAAGCCUGACGAUGCGACGCCGUGUGAGCGAUGAAGGCCUUCGGGUUGUAAAGCUCUUUCGCCUGGGAACAAGAGAGGUUGGUUAAUAACCAGCCGAUUUGAGGGUACUAGGUAAAGAAGCACCGGCUAACUCCGUGCCAGCAGCUGCGGUAAUACGGAGGGUGCAAGCAUUAAUCGGAUUCACUGGGCGUAAAGGGCGCGUAGGUGGGUAGGAUAGUUAUAUGUGAAAGCCCGGAGCUCAACUCCGGAACAGCAUCUAAUACUUCCUGUCUAGAGGUUUGGCGGAGAAAAUGGAAUUCCACGUGUAGCGGUGAAAUGCGUAGAUAUGUGGAAGAACACCGGUGGCGAAGGCGAUUUUCUAGCUUAUACCUGACACUGAGGCGCGAAAGCAAGGGGAGCAAACA
RNAcentral lists this ribosomal RNA (427 nucleotides) under uncultured Neochlamydia sp. RNAcentral describes it as "bacterial SSU rRNA". It matches the Rfam family "Bacterial small subunit ribosomal RNA", at positions 355 to 774 of the family's 1533-position model. The record is from RNAcentral. Lineage: Bacteria; Pseudomonadati; Chlamydiota; Chlamydiia; Parachlamydiales; Parachlamydiaceae.